RNAcentral lists this ribosomal RNA (201 nucleotides) under uncultured bacterium. RNAcentral describes it as "partial 16S ribosomal RNA". It matches the Rfam family "Bacterial small subunit ribosomal RNA", at positions 524 to 724 of the family's 1533-position model. The record is from RNAcentral.
UACGUAGGUGGCAAGCGUUGUCCGGAAUUAUUGGGCGUAAAGCGCGCGCGGGCGGUCCUUUAAGUCUGAUGUGAAAGCCCACGGCUCAACCGUGGAAGGUCAUUGGAAACUGGAGGACUUGAGUACAGAAGAGGAAAGCGGAAUUCCACGUGUAGCGGUGAAAUGCGUAGAGAUGUGGAGGAACACCAGUGGCGAAGGCGG